This 496-nucleotide ribosomal RNA is filed under the name uncultured bacterium. RNAcentral's name for it is "partial 16S ribosomal RNA". It matches the Rfam family "Bacterial small subunit ribosomal RNA", at positions 28 to 507 of the family's 1533-position model. The record is from RNAcentral.
GAUGAACGCUGGCGGCGUGCCUAAUACAUGCAAGUCGAGCGAACGGACGAGAAGCUUGCUUCUCUGAUGUUAGCGGCGGACGGGUGAGUAACACGUGGAUAACCUACCUAUAAGACUGGGAUAACUUCGGGAAACCGGAGCUAAUACCGGAUGAUAUUUGAACCGCAUGGUUCAAAAGUGAAAGACGGUCUUGCUGUCACUUAUAGAUGGAUCCGCGCUGCAUUAGCUAGUUGGUAAGGUAACGGCUUACCAAGGCAACGAUGCAUAGCCGACCUGAGAGGGUGAUCGGCCACACUGGAACUGAGACACGGUCCAGACUCCUACGGGAGGCAGCAGUAGGGAAUCUUCCGCAAUGGGCGAAAGCCUGACGGAGCAACGCCGCGUGAGUGAUGAAGGUCUUCGGAUCGUAAAACUCUGUUAUUAGGGAAGAACAUAUGUGUAAGUAACUGUGCACAUCUUGACGGUACCUAAUCAGAAAGCCACGGCUAACUACGUG